Vicia faba (fava bean) is the source of this 207-nucleotide non-coding RNA. Lineage: Eukaryota; Viridiplantae; Streptophyta; Magnoliopsida; Fabales; Fabaceae. The record is from the annotation of a GenBank genome assembly.
AUGAUGAUGGUUUCAAUGUUCUAUAUGCUAGAUACACAUCAAUUCACCAUGCACAUAAGUUGUUUGAACAAACGCCUCACAAAGAUGUUUAUCUAUGGAACACUUUGCUUGGAAGCUUUUGUUAUGAGGGAGAAUGGGCAUUUGACGCUGACUAAAUUUGAAUUGAGGGUUUGGGUGAUCGGUUUGCAAAAGGUGAUGGUAUUGUAA